This 492-nucleotide ribosomal RNA is filed under the name uncultured bacterium. RNAcentral's name for it is "partial 16S ribosomal RNA". It matches the Rfam family "Bacterial small subunit ribosomal RNA", at positions 29 to 507 of the family's 1533-position model. The record is from RNAcentral.
AGUGAACGCUGGCGGUAGGCCUAACACAUGCAAGUCGAACGGCAGCACAGUAAGAGCUUGCUCUUACGGGUGGCGAGUGGCGGACGGGUGAGGAAUACAUCGGAAUCUACUUUUUCGUGGGGGAUAACGUAGGGAAACUUACGCUAAUACCGCAUACGACCUACGGGUGAAAGCAGGGGAUCUUCGGACCUUGCGCGAUUGAAUGAGCCGAUGUCGGAUUAGCUAGUUGGCGGGGUAAAGGCCCACCAAGGCGACGAUCCGUAGCUGGUCUGAGAGGAUGGUCGGCCACACUGGAACUGAGACACGGUCCAGGCUCCUACGGGAGGCAGCAGUGGGGAAUAUUGGACAAUGGGCGCAAGCCUGAUCCAGCCAUACCGCGUGGGUGAAGAAGGCCUUCGGGUUGUAAAGCCCUUUUGUUGGGAAAGAAAAGCAGCAGGUUAAUACCCCGCUGUUCUGACGGUACCCAAAGAAUAAGCACCGGCUAACUUCGUG